AGCAAUGGCAAUUGAACAUGAACUCCAAACCCAUCUCAACUCAAAUUACAAAAUAUUUGCUAGUAAUAUUCGACUCCUAUUGGGUUAUCUGGCAAUUGUUCAACUUGCUUUGAUUCAUGUUCUCAUCUAUGGUCUGUUACUUCUGGGUUUAUGGUUCUACUUGGUAAUACGAGUAGCAGUCAACCCAUGUGAAGACCUAUGUCUAUUAGUAGGCAGAGAUUUGCAAAACUUAAAAAGGCUGGCUGAAGAUGCAAUCCAAAGGCUAUUUGGCAGGCAGGACAAAAUACCCAUCUCCUUCCUAGUGUGUGUUUGAGAUCAGCAUUGGCUAUUGAUUCCAUACUCAAAGCUUGUAAAUCAAAUUGUGUUGAUCUUAGUUCCAAGUUUCAGAUGGUUUCUUCUAGGCUUAGGACCUCCACAUUUAAAUGGUACUUGGAACUCAUAUCAAGAUCUUUACCAUUUGCUACUCCAAGCAUUUGAUGAGUUGAAGAGGCUUUCAAGAAAUUUAUUUCAAGCACUAAGGAGGAUGCCAAUUGGAGGUGGGGAAAACAACAUAAUGCAGGAACCAAAUCAUCAAUCUUCGUCAUCUGUUAAAUAUUGUUUAGUCUUAGUUAUUGCUUAUUCAUUUAUGUUAUGUAAGUGACCUUGUUCAUAUUGCUUACUGCUACUCUGAACAAAUUGGUAAUUAAUUUCUUUGUAUUUCUUGCCCAGCAAUGUCCAUGGAUUCAACAAAGUUUAAGCUUCUUGUGGUAACUUAAAGCUAGCUUGUUAUCAGUUCAGCUAUCUGGGGAAAUGAAGAUGUUGGUGGUCUCUCUAAUCAACUAUGCAAUAGCAAUGGCAAUUGAACAUGAACUCCAAACAUAUCCCAACUCAAAUUACAAAACAUGUGCUAGAAAUAUUCGUCUCCUAUUGGGUUAUAUGGCAAUUGUGCUACUUGCCUUGGUUCAUGUUCUCCUCUAUGUUGUGUUACUUAUGAGUUUGUGGGUCUACUUGCUUACACAAGUAGGACGCCACCCAUAUCAAGACUUAUAUCUAUUAGUAGGCAAAGAUUUGCAACACUUAAAGGAGUUAGCUGAAGAUGCAAUCCAAAGGCUAUUUGGCAGGCAGGAGUGAGCCACCGAAUCAAUUGUCUAGUUAAGUGUAUUAUUCUAGUAAACCUGAUUUGUCUUUACAAUUUUAGAUCUCUCUAUAAAAUGUUUGAUUUUAGCAAUCAUUUUAAUGAUUUAAAUGUGAUAGUUUAGUCCAUAUUAAUGUAUCUGAGUUGUAGAAAUAAUACAUAGUUGUAGAAUUUUGAAAGGGUCUUCUUUUGAAAUUUAUAUUUGUUUAUGUUAGAAUAUUUGUUUAUUGCAUUGUUAAAUCUCCCUCUCUCAUUUGUAAUUUAUGUGUUGUUUGUAGAGGAAGAGAUGGGGAGAGGGAGAGAAUUUGUUAUUAAAAUUUUCUUUUAACAGGAUUAAGUCCAAUUUAAAAAAUUUUAUUACAGUGUUUGAGUUGUAGAAAUAAUACAAAUACUCAUCUCUCUCAUCAUAGCAAAAUACCCAUCUCAUUCCCAGGAUGCUUUUGAGAUUAGCAUUGGCUAUUGAAUCUAUACUCAAAGCUUGUAAAUCAAAUUGUGUUGAUCUUAGUUGCAAGCUUUAGAUGGCUUCUUUUAGGUUCAGGACCUUCAUAUUUAAAUGGGAAGCUUGGAACUCAUAUCAAGAUCUUUACCGUUUGCUACUCCAAGCAUUUGAUGAGUUGAAGAGGCUUUCAAGAAAUGCUUUUCAAGCACUAAGGAGGAGGCCAAUUGGAGGUGGGGAAAACAACAUAAUGCAGGAACCAAAUCAUCAAUCUUCUUCAUCUGUCAAAUAUUGUUUAGUCUUAAUUAUUGCUUUUUCAUUUAUGUUACGCAAAUGACCUUGUUCAUAUUGCUUACUGCUACUCUGAACAAAUUGGUGAUUAAUUUCUUUGUAUUUAUUAUCCAUGGAUUCAACAAAUUUAAGCUUCUUGUUGUAACUUAAAGCUAGCUUGUUAUCAGUUCAGAUAUCUUGGGUCUUGGAUUGUAGCAGGGUAAUUAGCAAAGCUGCUUGUACAGAGUUUAUUUCCUCUUGAAUCUUAGGUUUGGAUCUAUUCAGAAUCAUAGUUGUGUUGUGCAGUAGUUUUUUUGGGUCUCUGGUUCUGCAGCUUGAGUGGGAGCUUCUGCUGCUGUUUAUAUAUAUUGGUUUAGUUUGGUUAUGUAUUCAUAUAUUUAUUUGAAAUUCAAUGGGGCGACCAGUAAUUGAUGGAUCA
RNA transcript from Hevea brasiliensis (rubber tree), 2259 nucleotides. RefSeq lists it as uncharacterized. The transcript has 3 exons. The record is from RefSeq and is a predicted model, not a curated record. Lineage: Eukaryota; Viridiplantae; Streptophyta; Magnoliopsida; Malpighiales; Euphorbiaceae.